Molecule: ribosomal RNA, 1278 nt
Filed under: Triticum aestivum (bread wheat)
Lineage: Eukaryota; Viridiplantae; Streptophyta; Magnoliopsida; Poales; Poaceae
Description: partial small subunit ribosomal RNA
Source: RNAcentral
AUGAGGAGCUUGAAAGACGAAAGAACAAAGAUUUUUCCCUCAACUACGAGGGGAGGUAAGGAACUGCCAUCUAGCUCUGCACUAGAUUCUCCUUCUGUUUUGAGUAAGCUUGCGACACCUAAACCUGCUACUACUAUGAAUUCUGAUAUGUCGCAUGUUAUUGAUGAUGCCACUUCUGCUAUACAUGAUACUUAUGAUGAAACUACUUCUGUGCGUGAUACUACUUUUCCAUUAGGUGAAUUUCUUGAUGAACAACUUGCUAGGGUUAGAGAGAAUGAAAUUAUUAAUGAUGAUAUUAUCGAUGAUAGUGAUUAUGAAAGUUCUCCCCCUGAUUAUGAAUUACCUGUUGUUCCUGAGGGUUAUGUUAUGGAUGAGGAAGCUGCUAGAGCUAUUUUUGCUUGCAAAGAUAGAUAUGAUCUUAAGAAUUUAUUAGCUAAAUGGAAGCAGCAACCCCUUAAUGCAAGAAUGAAACCUGACCCCGCUUUUGCUACUUCACCUAUCUGCGUUACUGAUAAGGACUAUGAAUUCUCUGUUGAUCCUAAGAUAAUUACUUUGGUUGAAUCUGAUGCUUUUUAUGGCUAUGAAUUUGAAACUGUUGUGGCACAUCUUACCAAGUUAAAUGAUAUAGCCACCCUGUUUACUAAUGAUGAGAAGUCUUGCUAUUAUUAUAUCCUUAAGAUAUUUCCGUUCUCAUUAAAGGGUGAUGCUAAAACUUGGUUUAAUUCCCUUGAUCCUGGUUGUGUGCGUAGUCCCCAGGAUAUGAUUUAUUACUUCUCUGCUAAAUCUUUCCAUGCUCAUAAGAAACAAGCUGCCUUGCGGGAAAUAUAUGAUUUUGUGCAAAUCAAAGAAGAGAGUCUCCCACAAGCUUGGGGGAGGCUUCUCCGAUUACUUAAUGCUUUGCCUGAUCAUCCUCUUAAGAAAAAUGAAAUACUUGAUAUCUUUUAUAAUGGACUAACCGAUGCUUCCAAGGACUACUUGGAUAGUUGUGCUGGUUGUGUUUUUAGGGAAAGAACAGUCGACCAAGCUGAAUUACUAUUGAAUAAUAUGUUGACUAAUGAAAAUAAUUGGACUCUUCCUAAGCCAAUUCCUGAGGCAAUUCCUGAGCCAAUUGAGCCAACUCCUGAGCGUAUUCUUAAACCAACUCCGAAGAAGAGGGGAGUUCUAUUUCUCAGUCCUGAAGAUAUGCACGAGGCAAAGAAAUCAAUGAAAGAAAAAGGUAUUAAAGCUGAAGAUGUUAAGAAUUUACCACCUAUUGAAGAAAUACAUGGUCUUAAUAUA